AUUAGAAGUCAGUCUCCCUGGUCUACAGUUGGAAGGAUCCACUAUGUUUAAGAUCUGUGUUUAAGGUGGAGUAUAGUGGAAAAAAAACAGUGAAUUUGGAGUCAGAACCACUUAGUUUAUGUGACAAUAUGCCAGGUUAAUACUUCUUAAUUCACUGCCUGACUACAUCGGUUGAGGGGACACAACAGAGGAGAGACUCUAAAAGAACACUCUAAUGCAAAUAUUAACAACAUGGCAAUGGGUUCAAAUCAAGAACAGGUGAUACCCAGUGGAAUCACGCAUCGGCUGGGGGGGGGGAGGAAAAGAAAAUGAUCUUUGUCUUUAAUGAAUAAU
Non-coding RNA from Monodelphis domestica (gray short-tailed opossum), 333 nucleotides. NCBI's taxonomy places the organism in Eukaryota, Metazoa, Chordata, Mammalia, Didelphimorphia, Didelphidae. The record is from RefSeq and is a predicted model, not a curated record.